GACGAACGCUGGCGGCGUGCUUAACACAUGCAAGUCGAACGGAAAGGCCCUGCUUUUGGGGGGUGCUCGAGUGGAGAACGGGUGAGUAACACGUGAGUAACCUGCAAUUGACUUUGGGAUAACUUCAGGAAACUGGGGCUAAUACCGGAUAGGAGCUACUGCUGCAUGGUGGGGGUUGGAAAGUUUCGGCGGUUGGGGAUGGACUCGCGGCUUAUCAGCUUGUUGGUGGGGUAGUGGAUUACCAAGGCUUUGAAGGGUAGCCGGCCUGAGAGGGUGACCGGCCACAUUGGGACUGAGAUACGGCCCAGACUCCUACGGGAGGCAGCAGUGGGGAAUAUUGCACAAUGGGCGGAAGCCUGAUGCAGCAACGCCGCGUGCGGGAUGACGGCCUUCGGUUUGUAAACCACUUUCGCCUGUGACGAAGCGUGAGUGACGGUAAUGGGUAAAGAAGCUCCGGCUAACUACGUG
Molecule: ribosomal RNA, 468 nt
Filed under: uncultured bacterium
Lineage: Bacteria
Description: partial 16S ribosomal RNA
Rfam family: Bacterial small subunit ribosomal RNA
Source: RNAcentral